AUACUCUGGUUUCUCUUCAGAUUGUAUAAAUCUUUCGCCUUUUACUAAAGAUUUCCGUGGAGAGGAACAUUUAUGAGUUUCAAUUUAUAAGAUAUGGGACUUGUUUUAUCAGUGGC
Small nuclear RNA from Thamnophis elegans (Western terrestrial garter snake), 116 nucleotides. RefSeq annotates it as U5 spliceosomal RNA. NCBI's taxonomy places the organism in Eukaryota, Metazoa, Chordata, Lepidosauria, Squamata, Natricidae. The record is from RefSeq and is a predicted model, not a curated record. The transcript has a single exon.